AGAAGCUUCAGGUCGAGCUCUUGAUAAUUAUUGUUUCUCUUCUUUCUGACAAUCAGCAUCUCACUUUGACCACAUCUCCACUGCUUCAGAUCCCUGAAACAGUGUUAGUUUGUCACUAGUUUUGAUCGGUUGGUAUUUUAGUUUGGUGGUGAAGUUCAAAUACUCUCAAGAAAGAAAGACUGAAACAGGGGGAAACAGGGGGAAUUGAUCGGAUUACUCAGCUGGUGUUUGAGAGAUAUUUGUGUUGAUAACGUGUUAUAAAACUAGGAAAAUUUAGAGGGAAUUUGGAGGAAGAGAAUAACCAUAAAAAUUGCUCUUCUAAAGCUUAUCUUUUCAUUCUCUUAAUGCCUUGUAUUUAUAGGCAUAGAAAAUGCACUAUUCACCACUAUUUUACAAAUACAUUGUGGGGUGAGUCAUAUAUUAGGUAUGGAGGGGUGAGUCAUUUAUUAGGUAGCAGGUAUUAUGGCGACAUCCACUAAAACAUGGAUUUACAACAUAAUGUACAAGGAAAAACAGAUUACCCAUUUCUUGUAAACAGUACAAAUCGCAUUUA
This is a long non-coding RNA of Prunus persica (peach), 553 nucleotides long. RefSeq lists it as uncharacterized. The record is from RefSeq and is a predicted model, not a curated record. Lineage: Eukaryota; Viridiplantae; Streptophyta; Magnoliopsida; Rosales; Rosaceae. The transcript is spliced from 2 exons.